GAUAUGUCACCUGAACAGUUCAUUGGUGCAUUUGACUCGCAUUUGAGAGAAAGGAUUUUCUGCUAUGAUGGUUUCUCUGAUCCUCUUGGAUGGGAUCUCUCAAGAAACGAUUGUGAUAACAGUCGUGUCUGUGUUAUCCAUCAGAACUCUAAUGCAGCACAAGUGGUUAAGAGUAACUUGGCAAGUCGUUCCUCCCAAAACAGC
Long non-coding RNA from Orbicella faveolata, 204 nucleotides. The record is from RefSeq and is a predicted model, not a curated record. Lineage: Eukaryota; Metazoa; Cnidaria; Anthozoa; Scleractinia; Merulinidae.